This 483-nucleotide ribosomal RNA is filed under the name uncultured bacterium. RNAcentral's name for it is "bacterial SSU rRNA". It matches the Rfam family "Bacterial small subunit ribosomal RNA", at positions 28 to 510 of the family's 1533-position model. The record is from RNAcentral.
GAUGAACGCUAGCGGCAGGCUUAACACAUGCAAGUCGAGGGGUAUAGUUCUUCGGAAUUAGAGACCGGCGCACGGGUGCGUAACGCGUAUGCAAUCUACCUUUCACAGAGGGAUAGCCCCAGAGAAAUUUGGAUUAAUACCUCAUAGUAUAGCAGUUUCGCAUGAAACCACUAUUAAAGUCACAACGGUGAAAGAUGAGCAUGCGUCCCAUUAGCUAGUUGGUAAGGUAACGGCUUACCAAGGCAACGAUGGGUAGGGGUCCUGAGAGGGAGAUCCCCCACACUGGUACUGAGACACGGACCAGACUCCUACGGGAGGCAGCAGUGAGGAAUAUUGGACAAUGGGCGCAAGCCUGAUCCAGCCAUGCCGCGUGCAGGAUGACGGUCCUAUGGAUUGUAAACUGCUUAUAUAACAGGAAGAAACACUACUUCGUGAAGUAGCUUGACGUACUGUAAGAAUAAGGAAUCGGCUAACUCCGUGCCA